This 180-nucleotide ribosomal RNA is filed under the name uncultured soil bacterium. RNAcentral describes it as "partial 16S ribosomal RNA". It matches the Rfam family "Bacterial small subunit ribosomal RNA", at positions 338 to 524 of the family's 1533-position model. The record is from RNAcentral.
CCUACGGGAGGCAGCAGUGGGGAAUAUUGCACAAUGGGCGAAAGCCUGAUGCAGCAACGCCGCGUGAGGGACGACGGCCUUCGGGUUGUAAACCUCUUUUAGUAGGGAAGAAGGGAGCUUGCUCUUGACGGUACCUGCAGAAAAAGCACCGGCUAACUACGUGCCAGCAGCCGCGGUAAU